UAGAAGUGUUGAGUUUGGCUUUUUGA
RNAcentral lists this non-coding RNA (26 nucleotides) under Rattus norvegicus (Norway rat). The record is from RNAcentral. Lineage: Eukaryota; Metazoa; Chordata; Mammalia; Rodentia; Muridae.